AACGGGACCGUUAAAUUAGCCAUCAUGUGGUACGGAAAUUGUGGCAAGGAAAUAAAGAACACCAUGAGAAACUUCAUUAAAUCAUUGACCGUCCCAGGCAAAGCCAAACUGCAACCUCAAGUUACCUGUUGGUGGAAAGUAGUGGAAAGUUACCAAUCAAUGAUACCAGACGCAAAGCCUGGGAAAAGCCCCAAAAUCAAGGUCAAAGUGGUGAAACAAUCAGGAGAGAAAACAUAUAAAUAUGGGAAAGUUUUGACUUUGCAAGGGCAUAUCCCGGAGCUUAUCGAGCAUGUCACUAAGGGCGAUACUGAACUCUUACCGGUCAUCGUUGCUGCAAGGGAUGUCUCUAUUCAAGGAAUUUGCAACGGGCAAUGUGCGGAUCAUUUACUUACUGGUAAGCUUUUUUAUUUUUGGUUGUGAUAGUUAGGUCCU
This 432-nucleotide long non-coding RNA is filed under the name Gossypium raimondii (Peruvian cotton). RNAcentral describes it as "long non-coding RNA (GRAI_LNC001894)". Lineage: Eukaryota; Viridiplantae; Streptophyta; Magnoliopsida; Malvales; Malvaceae. The record is from RNAcentral.